Molecule: ribosomal RNA, 269 nt
Filed under: uncultured prokaryote
Description: partial 16S ribosomal RNA
Rfam family: Bacterial small subunit ribosomal RNA
Source: RNAcentral
UACGUAUGAGGCGAGCGUUAUCCGGAAUUACUGGGCGUAAAGGGCGUGUAGGCGGCCUUUUAAGUUGGCGGUGAAAGCUCCCGGCUCAACCGGGAGAGGUCUGCCAAUACUGAAGGGCUAGAGGACAGCAGAGGAAGGUGGAAUUCCCGGUGUAGCGGUGACAUGCGUAGAUAUCGGGAGGAACACCAGUGGCGAAGGCGGCCUUCUGGGCUGUGCCUGACGCUGAGGCGCGAAAGCGUGGGGAGCGAAGCGGAUUAGAUACCCCCGUA